GGAGUGGAUCGGGCGAUCGCGCCUGUCUCGCACAGGUGAGGAAAGUCCGAACUCCGCAGGGCAGGGUGCUGGGUAACGCCCAGGAGGGGAAACCCUACGGAAAGUGCAACAGAGAGCAGACCGCCAGCGGACGGGGUCCCCGACCCCGUUGCGGGCAAGGGUGAAACGGCGAGGUAAGAGCUCACCGCGUCUCUGGUGACAGAGACGGCACGGUAAACCCCACCCGGAGCAAGGCCGAAUAGGAGAGGAGAGGUGGCCCGCCUCGGUAUCCCUCUCGGGUAGGCCGCGUCGAGGCGUCGGAUAACCGGCGCCCCAGAGGAAUGAUCGCCCCCUCGGAGCAAUCCGGGGGACAGAAUUCGGCUUACAGAUCCACUCCGGCC
Molecule: RNase P RNA, 380 nt
Filed under: Candidatus Handelsmanbacteria bacterium RIFCSPLOWO2_12_FULL_64_10
Lineage: Bacteria; Candidatus Handelsmaniibacteriota
Description: RNase P RNA component class A
Rfam family: Bacterial RNase P class A
About the family: Ribonuclease P (RNase P) is a ubiquitous endoribonuclease, found in archaea, bacteria and eukarya as well as chloroplasts and mitochondria. Its best characterised activity is the generation of mature 5'-ends of tRNAs by cleaving the 5'-leader elements of precursor-tRNAs.
Source: RNAcentral